This 492-nucleotide ribosomal RNA is filed under the name uncultured bacterium. RNAcentral's name for it is "partial 16S ribosomal RNA". It matches the Rfam family "Bacterial small subunit ribosomal RNA", at positions 29 to 507 of the family's 1533-position model. The record is from RNAcentral.
AGUGAACGCUGGCGGUAGGCCUAACACAUGCAAGUUGAACGGCAGCACAGUAAGAGCUUGCUCUUACGGGUGGCGAGUGGCGGACGGGUGAGGAAUACAUCGGAAUCUACUUUUUCGUGGGGGAUAACGUAGGGAAACUUACGCUAAUACCGCAUACGACCUACGGGUGAAAGCAGGGGAUCUUCGGACCUUGCGCGAUUGAAUGAGCCGAUGUCGGAUUAGCUAGUUGGCGGGGUAAAGGCCCACCAAGGCGACGAUCCGUAGCUGGUCUGAGAGGAUGAUCAGCCACACUGGAACUGAGACACGGUCCAGACUCCUACGGGAGGCAGCAGUGGGGAAUAUUGGACAAUGGGCGCAAGCCUGAUCCAGCCAUACCGCGUGGGUGAAGAAGGCCUUCGGGUUGUAAAGCCCUUUUGUUGGGAAAGAAGAGCAGCAGGUUAAUACCCCGCUGUUCUGACGGUACCCAAAGAAUAAGCACCGGCUAACUUCGUG